UUGAGGCCAGGAGUUCAAGACCAGCCUGAGCAACAUAGUGAGACUUUGUCUCUAUAAAAAAUAAAUAAAUAAAUAAAAAGAACUUGUCCAAGGUCAGACAGCAAGCCAGAAUACCCAUCUCCUGUCUCAGAAAUGAUGAGAAAUAAUAAAUAUAUGUGCUCACACAUAUUACCAUCUAAUUUUCUACAUUAUAUGUUAUAGAACAGUUCCAUCAUCAAAGAAACUUCUAUUGAACAGUGCUAUUAUAUAAUGUCCUUGAGGUCAGGAGUUCAAGACCAGCCUGGCCGACAUGGUGAAACCCCGUCUCUAGUAAAAAUACAAAAAAUUAGCUAGGCGUGGUGGUGCAUGCCUGUAACCCCAGCUACUCAGGAGGCUGAGUUGGGAGAAUCACUGGAACCCAGGAGGCAGAAGUUGUAGUGAGCCAAGAUUGUGCCACUGCACUCUAGCCUGGGUGACAGAGCAAGACUCCAUCUCAAAAAAAAAGAAAAAAGAAAAAGAAAAAGUCAGAAACAUCUUGAGGCAGGCAUAGUGCUGUCAUCUGUCCAAUAUUGAAGAUGAUUUAAGAAUAAGAAAGAAGAGAACAAAGAAGAGACAAAGAAGUUGCCUUAGGUGUACCCACCCAGAAAAGGACAAAGGCAUUCUUGUAGUCAUUGUGUUGUAUUUUAGCUCUUAAACUUUUUAAGAGAUUAGAAUAAUUUGACACAUAGAAGAUCUAAACCACUGAAGAGGCUCUGAAGCAGAUAAAAGUAGAAAGAAAAUAAAAAACUAAUUAGUUACAAACUAAGCUUAACCACAAUUCAUUUAAACGAUACUAUUUACUCUUCACAUGAUUUUGAGCAAACCAGCCACAAAAGAUAUUUCAGGGAGACCAAGCUGGAAGGAUCACUUGAGGCCAGGAGUUUGAGACCAGCCUGGGCAAUGUAGUAAGACCUCCAUCUCUACAAAAACAAUAAAUUAGCUGGGCAUGGUGGUGUGCACCUAUAGUCCUAGCUACUCAGGAAGCUGAGGCAGGAAGAUCACUUGAGCCCAGGAGUUUGAGGCUGCAAUGAGCUAUGAUUGUUUCACUGCACUUCAGGCUGUGUGAAAGAGCAAGACUUUGUCUCAAAAAAUAAAAGGACAUUUCAUAAUAAUUGAGGAAAUCUGAAUGUGGACUGGGUAAUAAAUGAUAUAAAAAAACUAUUUUUUAUUCUGUUUGAAAAGAUGAUUUUGUAACCAUACAGGAAAAUGUUCUUAUUUUUUAGAAAUCUGCACUAAAUAAUUUAGGGGUAAAAUAUCAUUUUCUUUAAUAUACUUUCAAACACAAGCAAAAAAUAAUCAUGACACAAAUAUAGCAAAAUGUUUACAAUCAAUGUUCUAUG
Molecule: long non-coding RNA, 1358 nt
Filed under: Homo sapiens (human)
Lineage: Eukaryota; Metazoa; Chordata; Mammalia; Primates; Hominidae
Description: non-protein coding lnc-SLC35F5-6:2
Source: RNAcentral